RNAcentral lists this ribosomal RNA (325 nucleotides) under uncultured eukaryote. RNAcentral's name for it is "partial 18S ribosomal RNA". It matches the Rfam family "Eukaryotic small subunit ribosomal RNA", at positions 1470 to 1796 of the family's 1831-position model. The record is from RNAcentral.
CCCUUAGAUGUCCUGGGCCGCACGCGCGCUACACUGAUGCAUUCAGCGAGUAUUUCCUUGGCCGAGAGGCCUGGGCAAUCUUUUAAACCUACAUCGUGAUAGGGAUAGAUUAUUGCAAUUAUUAAUCUUGAACGAGGAAUUCCUAGUAAACGCAAAUCAUCAAUUUGCAUUGAUUACGUCCCUGCCCUUUGUACACACCGCCCGUCGCACCUACCGAUUGAAUGGUCCGGUGAAAUCUCGGGAUUGUGGCCAGUUCACUUUAUUGGGAGUUGGCUGCGAGAACUUGCUUAAACCUUAUCAUUUAGAGGAAGGUGAAGUCGUAACA